UAACGUUGGGGUUUAGUUGUUAAGCCGUGCUGUGGCUCUGCCGCAGUCGGUUUGCCUAAGCCUUGGGCUGCCCAUCGUUUUGGGUGGCAGACAAAGCCACAUGGUAUCGUCAGCAUUUCCAAGGCGCUUCCUUCGUUCUCGAGCACUUUCGAGUUCGAAGUCAGGUGUCUUCAAGAAUUCUUUUUUGGCUGUUGGCUCUGGACCACCCCUCCAUCACCCGAAAAUGUCAUCAGAAGUAUUCCACUUCCUCCAGGGUCUUCCAGCUGGACUAAACUUUACAGGAGGACAUACUAACAGGAGAAAAAAAAAAUCCAAAGGUUUUAUUACCUGCGUCCAGAGGUCCGCUCCUGAUCUGAGAAAGUGGACCCUGAGAACACCCGUUUCUGAUCUGUUGAGCUGGUGUUCCCCUGUUGUUGUGGAGAUGCCGUCUAUACAGUAAUGUAGAAGAAGUUAAGUCAUCAGCCCAGAGACGUCCCUUGAACUCCACACUCAGAGACCCAGCUACCCACGUGACUUCUCUAUUUGGAAGUCCAUGAAUAUCCAUUUCCAAAUCCGACACCACCACUGCAAGACCAGCCUCUCUCGUCAACAUCUUGAAUCUGGAAAACGGCGAGUCCAACUUUUCAGCUGGGGUUGUUUUCGACUCUCCAGUCCAUAGUAGGUCCUGUCAGCUGUACCUGGAAAACACAGCAAGAAGGCUAGCAUUUCCCUUUCCGGCUCUUUCCCAUCACUGCUGCUCUGGCCAAGCGGCCGUCACUCCAUCGUUAUUCCUGCAGCCCCAUCUGCUUCCUCUCUCCUAUAUUUCACACAGCAGCCAGGGAUUAUAAUAAAGAGUAAAUCAGA
Long non-coding RNA from Herpailurus yagouaroundi (jaguarundi), 843 nucleotides. RefSeq lists it as uncharacterized. The record is from RefSeq and is a predicted model, not a curated record. The transcript has 3 exons. Lineage: Eukaryota; Metazoa; Chordata; Mammalia; Carnivora; Felidae.